RNAcentral lists this ribosomal RNA (320 nucleotides) under uncultured bacterium. Its description in RNAcentral is "bacterial SSU rRNA". It matches the Rfam family "Bacterial small subunit ribosomal RNA", at positions 1 to 330 of the family's 1533-position model. The record is from RNAcentral.
UAGUGAGUUUGAUCCUGGCUCAGGGUGAACGCUGGCGCGUGCCUAAGGACGAUGCAAGUCGAACGCAGUAGCUUGCUACUGAGUGGCGCACGGGUGAGUAACACGUAGGCAAUCUGCCUAUCUCUGGGGGAUAGCCCGCCGAAAGGGGGGAUUAAUACCGCAUAACACCACAACACGGCAUCGUGUCAUGGUUAAAGAAUUUCGGAGAUAGAUGAGCCUGCGUGCCAUUAGCUAGUUGGUAAGGUAACGGCUUACCAAGGCGACGAUGGCUAGGGGGAGCUGAGAGGCCGACUCCCCCGACACUGGCACUGAGAUACGGG